UUACUUAUAGUACUUCGUCGGCGGCGCGUGGCACAAUACAAGGUUACGACGCGGAGGAGUACAGCAAGAAUUUCGAUCAAGGGAUGGGGUGGGAGGAGCCUGAUAACCUCCCCAGAUCUUUCUCCGCCCGUUUUGCCGAUCCUUCCCGGAUCCUCUACCGCAGCGCCAGCACUUGUUACGCUAGAUGACACCUCAGCAUUCACCUAAUUAAAUUUAAAAUAAAAUCAUUUUUGAUUUGUAAGCGCAGUUGUUAUCUCUUGACUUAUGAUUUGUCCAUCCCCUCCUGUAAUGAUCGUGAUGGUGUUCUUUGACCAGUUGUUUUCCUCUGUUCUUUUUUUCUUAUUCCUUUUAAAAUCCUUUAUGCCGCCAGCGGCUGUUUCAAAUUCCGGCGAGAGGAAAGAAUGAAGUAUGGUAGGGUUUUACGAUAAGCGAUCGCUAUAAAUUAACGUGAGGAAUUCUAAACUUACAAUAUGUAUAUACAGAAAGUCAAUAGAUCGUCUCUAUGUUUUGUAACUGGAUAGAAUGAGUAUGAGAGGUUGAUUGUGGAUUAGUUCCAUUGACCGUUGCAGUAAGUACCAGAAAGUAAGAUUAUAAGAAAGAAGAAUCAGUUACGGAUCCUUGUAUUUUAUUUUAAUCUUGCAAAAAGAAUCUGAUAGAUUUUGUUAUUUGUUUAUUUAUUAUUGAAUGGAGUAGUAUAACGAUGUAUAUCAAUAUUUUAUAAUAAAAUUUAUUAUUUGUCUGAA
Molecule: long non-coding RNA, 743 nt
Filed under: Linum usitatissimum (flax)
Lineage: Eukaryota; Viridiplantae; Streptophyta; Magnoliopsida; Malpighiales; Linaceae
Description: long non-coding RNA (LUSI_LNC005757)
Source: RNAcentral